RNAcentral lists this ribosomal RNA (429 nucleotides) under Bacteroidota bacterium. RNAcentral describes it as "Bacteroidetes bacterium partial 16S ribosomal RNA". It matches the Rfam family "Bacterial small subunit ribosomal RNA", at positions 355 to 776 of the family's 1533-position model. Lineage: Bacteria; Pseudomonadati; Bacteroidota. The record is from RNAcentral.
UAGGGAAUCUUCCGCAAUGGACGCAAGUCUGACGGAGCAACGCCGCGUGAGUGAAGAAGGAUUUCGGUUCGUAAAACUCUGUUGUUAGAGAAGAACAGCGCAUAGAGUAACUGUUAUGCGUGUGACGGUAUCUAACCAGAAAGCCACGGCUAACUACGUGCCAGCAGCCGCGGUAAUACGUAGGUGGCAAGCGUUGUCCGGAUUUAUUGGGCGUAAAGCGAGCGCAGGCGGUCAAUUAAGUCUGAUGUGAAAGCCCCCGGCUCAACCGGGGAGGGUCAUUGGAAACUGGUUGACUUGAGUGCAGAAGAGGAGAGGGAAAUUCCAUGUGUAGCGGUGAAAUGCGUAGAUAUAUGGAGGAACACCAGUGGCGAAGGCAACUCUCUGGUCUGUAACUGACGCUGAGGUUCGAAAGCGUGGGUAGCAAACAGG